UUUCCGUAGGUGAACCUGCGGAAGGAUCAUUAAAGAAUUGCCCCGUCUUCUCGAAGAUGGGUUCUAUUCCAAACCGUGUUUACAUACCUUUGUUGCUUUGGCGGGCCGCCGUUUCGGCGUUGGCUCCGGCUGACUGCGCCCGCCAGAGAACCACAACUCUUUUGUUUAGUAAUGUCUGUGUACUAUAUAAUAGUUAAAACUUUCAACAACGGAUCUCUUGGUUCUG
RNAcentral lists this unclassified non-coding RNA (226 nucleotides) under plant metagenome. RNAcentral's name for it is "partial contains small subunit ribosomal RNA, internal transcribed spacer 1, and 5.8S ribosomal RNA". The record is from RNAcentral.